UACGUAGGGACCGAGCGUUGUCCGGAAUCAUUGGACGUAAAGAGCGUGUAGGCGGCUUUGCAAGUCCGUUGUGAAAACUCGAGGCUCAACCUCGAGACGCCGAUGGAAACCCCCUGGCUAGAGUCCGGAAGAGGAGAAUGGAAUUCCUGGUGUAGCGGUGAAAUGCGCAGAUAUCAGGAAGAACACCCGUGGCUAAGGCGGUUCUCUAGUACGGUACUGACGCUGAGACGCGAAAGCGUGGGGAGCGAACAGG
This 253-nucleotide ribosomal RNA is filed under the name uncultured bacterium. Its description in RNAcentral is "partial 16S ribosomal RNA". It matches the Rfam family "Bacterial small subunit ribosomal RNA", at positions 524 to 776 of the family's 1533-position model. The record is from RNAcentral.